UACGUAGGGGGCAAGCGUUGUCCGGAUUUAUUGGGCGUAAAGAGCGUGUAGGCGGCCAGGUAGGUCUGCUGUGAAAACUCGAGGCUUAACCUCGAGAUGUCGGCGGAAACCAUCUGGCUAGAGUCCGGAAGAGGAGAGUGGAAUUCCUGGUGUAGCGGUGAAAUGCGCAGAUAUCAGGAAGAACACCCGUGGCGAAGGCGGCUCUCUGGGACGGUACUGACGUUGAGACGCGAAAGCGUGGGGAGCGAACAGG
Molecule: ribosomal RNA, 253 nt
Filed under: uncultured bacterium
Lineage: Bacteria
Description: partial 16S ribosomal RNA
Rfam family: Bacterial small subunit ribosomal RNA
Source: RNAcentral